CCGGUAAGGUGAUAUGAACCGUUAUAACCGGCGAUUUCCGAAUGGGGAAACCCAGUGUGACUCGUCACACUAUCAUUAACUGAAUCCAUAGGUUAAUGAGGCGAACCGGGGGAACUGAAACAUCUAAGUACCCCGAGGAAAAAAAAUCAACCGAGAUUCCCCCAGUAGCGGCGAGCGAACGGGGAGGAGCCCAGAGCCUGAAUCAGCAUGUGUGUUAGUGGAAGCGUCUGGAAAGGCGCGCGAUACAGGGUGACAGCCCCGUACACAAAAGCGCAUGUGCUGUGAGCUCGAUGAGUAGGGCGGGACACGUGGUAUCCUGUCUGAAUAUGGGGGGACCAUCCUCCAAGGCUAAAUACUCCUGACUGACCGAUAGUGAACCAGUACCGUGAGGGAAAGGCGAAAAGAACCCCGGCGAGGGGAGUGAAAAAGAACCUGAAACCGUGUACGUACAAGCAGUGGGAGCACAGGUUUACCUGUGUGACUGCGUACCUUUUGUAUAAUGGG
This 504-nucleotide ribosomal RNA is filed under the name Salmonella enterica subsp. enterica serovar Cerro. Its description in RNAcentral is "partial 23S ribosomal RNA". It matches the Rfam family "Bacterial large subunit ribosomal RNA", at positions 78 to 619 of the family's 2925-position model. Lineage: Bacteria; Pseudomonadati; Pseudomonadota; Gammaproteobacteria; Enterobacterales; Enterobacteriaceae. The record is from RNAcentral.